This 353-nucleotide unclassified non-coding RNA is filed under the name soil metagenome. Its description in RNAcentral is "partial contains 5.8S ribosomal RNA, internal transcribed spacer 2, and large subunit ribosomal RNA". The stretch from base 1 to 120 matches the Rfam family "5.8S ribosomal RNA", at positions 35 to 154 of the family's 154-position model. The record is from RNAcentral.
GAUGAAGAACGUAGCGAAAUGCGAUAAGUAAUGUGAAUUGCAGAGUUCAGUGAAUCAUCGAAUCUUUGAACGCACAUUGCGCCCGCCAGUAUUCUGGCGGGCAUGCCUGUCCGAGCGUCAUUUCAACCCUCGAACCCCUCCGGGGGGUCGGCGUUGGGGAUCGGCCCUUUCACCGGGUGCCGGCCCCUAAAUACAGUGGCGGUCUCGCCGCAGCCUCUCAUGCGCAGUAGUUUGCACACUCGCACCGGGAGCGCGGCGCGUCCUCGUCCGUAAAACACCCCAAACUUCUGAAAUGUUGACCUCGGAUCAGGUAGGAAUACCCGCUGAACUUAAGCAUAUCAAUAAGCGGAGGA